UGUGGGAGCGGGCUUGCUCGCGAUUAAGGCAACCGGGUAUGUCAGUCAUGCCGGGUCGCUGCCUUCGCGAGCAAGCCCGCUCCCACA
This 87-nucleotide unclassified non-coding RNA is filed under the name Pseudomonas psychrophila. Lineage: Bacteria; Pseudomonadati; Pseudomonadota; Gammaproteobacteria; Pseudomonadales; Pseudomonadaceae. The record is from RNAcentral.